UUGCUGCCUGCGCUUCCUCUCUAAACGAGUCCUCUCCAGCACCUGAACAUAAGAUGGAAACGUGGAUUCCAAUACACGGCACCGGGAAUAGACACGGAGAGCAUCUGUUGGUGCCAUCACCGUACCCAACCAAUAAGCACCAGGGAAAGUAUGAUAAAAGUGAGGAAACCCGUGCAAUUUCAUACUACCAUAUCCCAGGAAGUAGCUACAAAUUUCCAUAGCAUGCUUUGCAAGAAAAGAAGGAAACGGGUGCUCUUCUUAUGUCUUCCGAGUAUUACUAUAUUUCACAUCAAGGUAUUUGUGGAGCACAGGAAGUGGCUUUGAAAUGGCCUGUGCAAACGUACUUGCUCUCUUGAUUCUUCCACUCGGCUUCUGCCGCGGAGAUCCACUUUCGGCUUCGAUGAAACCUGUCCAUCAAAGCUUCGGAACAUAGCUCUGUGACCUUGUGUGAUGAUGAUAUCACAGGUCUACGGAGCUCAAAGUAAGCCAAAUAUUACUUGCAGUAUGCAUUUUUUCCUUUUGUUCAGGCAGAGCGCGAAUACGUGAUUGAAUACACAGACAUCGUAUUAUAUCGAACACAAUGUGGCGAUCCUAAAUAUGUUUCUUUUGUUUGCUGCUGUCUAACAUUCUAAAAACACUUGGAUAAACGUGACUUGCAUUAUUCUGAUAAGAAACCUGAGUUCCAAUGGAAUUC
RNAcentral lists this long non-coding RNA (694 nucleotides) under Coccomyxa subellipsoidea. RNAcentral's name for it is "long non-coding RNA (CSUB_LNC000371)". The record is from RNAcentral. Lineage: Eukaryota; Viridiplantae; Chlorophyta; Trebouxiophyceae; Coccomyxaceae.